RNAcentral lists this ribosomal RNA (378 nucleotides) under uncultured cyanobacterium. RNAcentral's name for it is "bacterial SSU rRNA". It matches the Rfam family "Bacterial small subunit ribosomal RNA", at positions 376 to 770 of the family's 1533-position model. Lineage: Bacteria; Bacillati; Cyanobacteriota. The record is from RNAcentral.
CGAAAGCCUGACGGAGCACGCCGCGUGAGGGAUGUAGGCCUCUGGGCUGUAAACCUCUUUUCUCAAGGAAGAAGAACUGACGGUACUUGAGGAAUAAGCCACGGCUAAUUCCGUGCCAGCAGCCGCGGUAACACGGGAGUGGCAAGCGUUAUCCGGAAUUAUUGGGCGUAAAGCGUCCGCAGGCGGCCAUACAAGUCUGUCGUUAAAGCGUGGAGCUUAACUCCAUUUGAGCGAUGGAAACUGUAAGGCUUGAGUGUGGUAGGGGCAGAGGGAAUUCCCGGUGUAGCGGUGAAAUGCGUAGAUAUCGGGAAGAACACCAGUGGCGAAGGCGCUCUGCUGGGCCAUAACUGACGCUCAUGGACGAAAGCCAGGGGAGCG